Molecule: ribosomal RNA, 413 nt
Filed under: Libellula forensis (eight-spotted skimmer)
Lineage: Eukaryota; Metazoa; Arthropoda; Insecta; Odonata; Libellulidae
Description: partial 16S ribosomal RNA
Source: RNAcentral
UUACGCUGUUAUCCCUAAGGUAACUUAGUCUAAUAAUCAAUAAUAAUGGAUCUAAUAUUCAUAAAUCAAUGUUAUGUAAAUAAAAAAGUUAAAUAUAUAUUUUUGUCACCCCAACAAAACACAAAAAAAUAUAAAAAUAUUAAUAUAUAAAUAUUUAAAUAAAGUUGUGUAAAGAUCUAUAGGGUCUUCUCGUCUUCCAAUAGAAUUUUAGCUUUUUAACUAAAAAAUUAAAUUUUAAAACAAAUAAAAUGAGACAGUCAGUUCCUCGUUGAACCUUUCAUUCCAGCCCUCUAUUAAAAGACUAAUGAUUAUGCUACCUUUGCACGGUCAGUAUACCGCGGCCGUUGAACUCCUCACUGGGCAGGUCAGACCUUCAAUUAAAUUCAAAAGGACAUGUUUUUGAUAAACAGGCG